This 303-nucleotide ribosomal RNA is filed under the name uncultured bacterium. RNAcentral describes it as "partial 16S ribosomal RNA". It matches the Rfam family "Bacterial small subunit ribosomal RNA", at positions 507 to 807 of the family's 1533-position model. The record is from RNAcentral.
AGCAGUCGCCGCGGUAAUACGUAGGGCGCAAGCGUUAUCCGGAAUUAUUGGGCGUAAAGAGCUCGUAGGCGGUUUGACGCGUCUGCCGUGAAAGUCCGGGGCCCAACCCCGGAUCUGCGGUGGGUACGGGCAGACUAGAGUGAUGUAGGGGAGACUGGAAUUCCUGGUGUAGCGGUGAAAUGCGCAGAUAUCAGGAGGAACACCGAUGGCGAAGGCAGGUCUCUGGGCAUUAACUGACGCUGAGGGGCGAAAGCAUGGGGAGCGAACAGGAUUAGAUACCCGAGUAGUCCCUGUCUCUUAUAC